GGCUGGUCCAAGUGCAAUAGUGUUUGCAAGAAAUUGAUCACAACCACUUACAGAUUUAUUUGUUCUUUUUCCACUCCCACUGCUUCACUUGACCAGUCUUAA
Unclassified non-coding RNA from Nomascus leucogenys (northern white-cheeked gibbon), 102 nucleotides. It matches the Rfam family "Y RNA". Rfam says of the family: Y RNAs are components of the Ro ribonucleoprotein particle (Ro RNP), in association with Ro60 and La proteins. NCBI's taxonomy places the organism in Eukaryota, Metazoa, Chordata, Mammalia, Primates, Hylobatidae. The record is from Ensembl.